UCCAGAAGUAAUUAGAUUAGUUUUAAAC
RNAcentral lists this small RNA (28 nucleotides) under Bombyx mori (domestic silkworm). RNAcentral's name for it is "ovarian small RNA-26746". Lineage: Eukaryota; Metazoa; Arthropoda; Insecta; Lepidoptera; Bombycidae. The record is from RNAcentral.